CAGAUCCUUCCGGGAGCCACAGUGGGAAUAUUCCCAAUGGCCGAAACCUGAUGCAACGGCCCCGCGUGAGGGAUGCGGCCUUCGGGUUGUAACCUCUUUCAAGUAGGAAGAAGCGAAAGUGACGGUACCUGCAGAAGAAGCGCCGGCUAACUACGUGCCAGCAGCCGCGGUAAUACGUAGGGCGCAAGCGUUAUCCGGAUUUAUUGGGCGUAAAGAGCUCGUAGGCGGUUUGUCGCGUCUGCCGUGAAAGUCCGAGGCUCAACCUCGGAUCUGCGGUGGGUACGGGCAGACUAGAGUGAUGUAGGGGAGACUGGAAUUCCUGGUGUAGCGGUGAAAUGCGCAGAUAUCAGGAGGAACACCGAUGGCGAAGGCAGGUCUCUGGGCAUUUACUGACGCUGAGGAGCGAAAGCAUGGGGAGCGAACAGGAUUAGAUACCCUGGUAGUCCAUGCCGUAAACGUUGGGCACUAGGUGUGGGGGACAUUCCACGUUUUCCGCGCCGUAGCUAACGCAUUAAGUGCCCCGCCUGGGGAGUACGGCCGCAAGGCUAAAACUCAAAGGAAUUGACGGGGGCCCGCACAAGCGGCGGAGCAUGCGGAUUAAUUCGAUGCAACGCGAAGAACCUUACCAAGGCUUGACAUGUUCCAGACCGGGCUAGAGAUAGUCCUUCCCUUCGGGGCUGGUUCACAGGUGGUGCAUGGUUGUCGUCAGCUCGUGUCGUGAGAUGUUGGGUUAAGUCCCGCAACGAGCGCAACCCUCGUUCCAUGUUGCCAGCACGUAGUGGUGGGGACUCAUGGGAGACUGCCGGGGUCAACUCGGAGGAAGGUGGGGAUGACGUCAAAUCAUCAUGCCCCUUAUGUCUUGGGCUUCACGCAUGCUACAAUGGCCGGUACAAUGGGUUGCGAUACUGUGAGGUGGAGCUAAUCCCUAAAAGCCGGUCUCAGUUCGGAUUGGGGUCUGCAACUCGACCCCAUGAAGUCGGAGUCGCUAGUAAUCGCAGAUCAGCAACGCUGCGGUGAAUACGUUCCCGGGCCUUGUACACACCGCCCGUCAAGUCACGAAAGUUGGUAACACCCGAAGCCGAUGGCCUAACCACCUUGUGUGGGGGGAGUCGUCGAAGUGACGAGU
RNAcentral lists this ribosomal RNA (1126 nucleotides) under Glutamicibacter uratoxydans. RNAcentral's name for it is "bacterial SSU rRNA". It matches the Rfam family "Bacterial small subunit ribosomal RNA", at positions 332 to 1472 of the family's 1533-position model. The record is from RNAcentral. Lineage: Bacteria; Bacillati; Actinomycetota; Actinomycetes; Micrococcales; Micrococcaceae.